UAGAGUUUGAUCAUGGCUCAGAGCGAACGCUGGCGGCAGGCCUAACACAUGCAAGUCGAGCGGCCGUAGCAAUACGGCAGCGGCAGACGGGAGAGUAACACGUGGGAACGCGCCCUUCGGUCCGGAAUAACUCAGGGAAACUUGGGCUAAUACCGGAUACGCCCUUACGGGGAAAGAUUUAUUGCCGAAGGAACGGCCCGCGUCCGAUUAGCUAGUUGGUGAGGUAAUGGCUCACCAAGGCGACGAUCGGUAGCUGGUCUGAGAGGAUGACCAGCCUCACUGGGACUGAGACACGGCCCAGACUCCUACGGGAGGCAGCAGUGGGGAAUUUUGGACAAUGGGCGCAAGCCUGAUCCAGCCAUGCCGCGUGCGGGAAGAAGGCCUUCGGGUUGUAAACCGCUUUUGUCAGGGAAGAAACGCACCGAUCUAAUACAACGGUGUAAUGACGGUACCUGAAGAAUAAGCACCGGCUAACUACGUGCCAGCAGCCGCGGUA
RNAcentral lists this ribosomal RNA (496 nucleotides) under uncultured bacterium. RNAcentral describes it as "bacterial SSU rRNA". It matches the Rfam family "Bacterial small subunit ribosomal RNA", at positions 1 to 522 of the family's 1533-position model. The record is from RNAcentral.